CAGUGGGAUUAUCGGGAUCGAAGCAGCGGGAACGUUGAAAUUUCCAAUCUUGCGAUUCAUGAAAUUACCUUGCAUAACUGAGAAUGUCUGCAGCUGCGCCAGACAUGUGUUCAUUAUGACUGUACUGAAUAAAAUGGGCAACAUCCUGGUUAGUAUCUUAACUUCUUCAACUUGAGUCACUGUGCACACCGUCCAUGGUGUUGUCUUCGAAUCUUUCGGAACAAUUGCAGCUUUAUCUAGGAAUCUGACCAAGAAUCAUGAAUCACAGUUGGUUUCCAAAUUUUUGUUUAAACAUGUUUAGCUAUCAUACAGUCACAUCACAUCACAUUCAUGCGUGCAUUACCUGAAUUGGUUGGUGUGGGAGAUUAUUUCCUCCCUGAAAUCAUUUUCGGUUUUCCUGAUCUCAUACAAUUCAUCUGGACUGUCCGGCAGAGCUAGCUUACUGUUGUUUAUGGCUACUACUAUGACCUAUGAAUGAUCAUAACACAAAAGAAAUGUUUAUCACCUUUGUCACCACCCUUGUUUCUAUUUGUAGAUAUAUCCAUUAAGAAAUGAAAUGCAGGGAUAAAUAGUACUGAACCUGAGUUAUCCUUAUGAUGGGGCUAUCGGCCAUCUUGGGUUCUCGUAGGCGGUAGAAAGGCUUGCCGAGUGCAAGAACAGUGAAACCUAUGAAGGUAGCCACAGUCGAUAUGAAGAAACCCCAAUACCAUUUGUGCUUUUCAGUGGUCAGAUACACGAUCCCCGUCACUCCGACACAGGCUCCGAGUGUAGUACUGA
RNAcentral lists this long non-coding RNA (777 nucleotides) under Gossypium barbadense (sea-island cotton). RNAcentral describes it as "long non-coding RNA (GBAR_LNC021194)". Lineage: Eukaryota; Viridiplantae; Streptophyta; Magnoliopsida; Malvales; Malvaceae. The record is from RNAcentral.